RNAcentral lists this long non-coding RNA (554 nucleotides) under Olea europaea subsp. europaea. Lineage: Eukaryota; Viridiplantae; Streptophyta; Magnoliopsida; Lamiales; Oleaceae. The record is from RNAcentral.
AAAAAUUUCACACUUACGAUCAAUAUAGGAUUAGCUUCAAGUCCCUUAUGAUCAUAUUUGUGAUUAAUUUUCCUUUCUCUUUUAGCUAUAAUUAAAAUACAAACGAAGUGAAAGAAAGACAUGAUGAGUAUUGAUAACCUUUCUUAAGUCUAUAUCUCCAUUACAUGAGAAAAGGAUCUUUUUAGUAUUGGUAUAAAUGAUCUUUCCCUCACGUUCGGCUAUAGCAAGAGCCCCUGGACAUUAUGCGUUUGUUACAAAACAACCCCUUAGAGAAAGGGCAAAACAAGGGGAGCAACGAGCUCCAUCUGCUCUGAUUCAUUAUUUGGGAUUUUGAUCCAAGAGCACUACCAAAGUGUUUACCUGGAUUUAAUUAGAUACAAUUUCAAGGAUUUUGUAGGUUCUUUGAUCAGGGUAGAUGCUUUUUCAGACCUAUUGUCGAUACUAAGUAGCAGUCAAAAAUUUGUAUCCAUUUUUCAUGAUAUUAUGCAUGACGAAUAUUGUGACUAUUUAUAGUGAUGACAAUAUGCAUUUUAAGUUUAGAGCCUAAAUUUGCA